This 492-nucleotide ribosomal RNA is filed under the name uncultured bacterium. Its description in RNAcentral is "partial 16S ribosomal RNA". It matches the Rfam family "Bacterial small subunit ribosomal RNA", at positions 29 to 507 of the family's 1533-position model. The record is from RNAcentral.
AGUGAACGCUGGCGGUAGGCCUAACACAUGCAAGUCGAACGGAAGCACAGUAAGCGCUUGCCCUUACGGGUGGCGAGUGACGGACGGGUGAGACAUACAUAGGCAUCCUCUAUUUCGUGGGGGACAACGUAGGGCAAGUUACGAUAAUACCGAAUACGAUCUACGGCAGAAAGCAGGGGUUAUUGAGAGUUUGCGCGAUUGAAUGAGCCGAUGUCGGAUUAGCUAGUUGGCGGGGUAAAGGACCACCAAGGCGACGAUACGUAGCUGGUCUGAGAGGAUGAUCAGCCACACUGGAACUGAGACACGGUCCAGACUCCUACGGGAGGCAGCAGUGGGGAAUAUUCGACAAUGGGCGCAAGCCUGACCCAGCCAUACCGCGUGAGUGAAGAAGGCCUUCGGGUUGUAAAGCCCUUUUAUUGGGGAAGAAAAGCUGCAUGUUAAUACCCGGCUGUUCUGACGGUACCUAAAGAAUAAGCACCGGCUAACUUCGUG